This 461-nucleotide ribosomal RNA is filed under the name uncultured bacterium. RNAcentral's name for it is "partial 16S ribosomal RNA". It matches the Rfam family "Bacterial small subunit ribosomal RNA", at positions 338 to 795 of the family's 1533-position model. The record is from RNAcentral.
CCUACGGGAGGCAGCAGUGAGGAAUAUUGGUCAAUGGGCGAGAGCCUGAACCAGCCAAGUCGCGUGAAGGAUGACGGCCCUACGGGUUGUAAACUUCUUUUGUCAGGGAGCAAUUGGGUCCACGCGUGGGCUUAGCGAGAGUACCUGAAGAAAAAGCAUCGGCUAACUCCGUGCCAGCAGCCGCGGUAAUACGGAGGAUGCGAGCGUUAUCCGGAUUUAUUGGGUGUAAAGGGGGCGCAGACGGCGAUGCAAGCCAGGAGUGAAAGCCCGGGGCCCAACCCCGGGACUGCUCUUGGAACUGCGUGGCUGGAGUGCAGGAGGGGCAGGCGGAAUUCCUGGUGUAGCGGUGAAAUGCGUAGAUAUCAGGAGGAACACCGGUGGCGAAGGCGGCCUGCUGGACUGCAACUGACGUUGAGGCCCGAAAGCGUGGGGAGCAAACAGGAUUAGAUACCCCUGUAGUC